UUUGUUCUCAGAGCAUGACCUGCAAAGACAAGCACACGUGGGAAUAUGUCCCUGACCUGGGCCAGGUGGAGUGGGAGGGAGAUGUUUUGAAGUGAGAACCUUCAGAAUGUGCACUCGGUGUGGAGCAAGGGAGAGGAAGGCAUGAAGGAGGGAUGUGUUACUGGAUAGGAGGAUGGACAGAUGCCCUCAGAAGUACUGCUGGCUCUGUAAAGCCUGCCAGGCCUGGUGCUUGGAGUCCCUUCCUCCAGGGAGAGCCCUUUGCUGAUUCCAUACCAACAGUCCCCACCCCGUGAAGCCCCUCAGUGCCGCCCCUGUGGAGGGCAGCCCCGACAGGAAGCAGUCCCGCUCCAGUCUGAGCAUAGCCCUGAGCAGUGGGCUGGAGAAGCUCAAAACAGUCACAUCUGGGAGCAUUCAGCCUGUGACCCAGGCCCCCCAGGCUGGCCAGAUGGUGGACACCAAAAGGCUGAAGGACUCAGCUGUGCUGGACCAGUCAGCCAAGUACUACCACCUGACCCAUGAUGAGCUCAUCAGUCUGCUCCUGCAGCGGGAGCGGGAGCUGAGCCAGCGGGACGAGCAUGUGCAGGAGCUGGAGAGCUACAUCGACCGGCUGCUGGUGCGGAUCAUGGAGACCUCACCCACGCUGCUGCAGAUCCCCCCGGGCCCCCCCAAAUAGCCUUCCUCACCCCACCCCCAGGAGAGUUGGCAUGGACCUACCGCUGCCCGCCCUCCCUCCUGCUGAACUCUCUCAUCUGCAGUGGGGCAUCGUCUGUCUUGCCUUGUCACUCCUUGCUCCUCUCCCUCCUGCCUCAACUGGGGCUGCUGGAAGGGGGGGCCCUCUGGAUUCCCUUUGGAGGCAUCAGGUUCUGUGCACAACUUGUGUGUCUUUGGGAGCCCUGGGUCUUUCCUACCUGCCUGUUUUCAUACCCCUCAGCUUUGGGGGCCCCAGGGAAUUGGAACUCUUCCCCCAAGACAGAGCAGGGGUGAACUGUAGCUUGAUGUGGUAAUCUGGGACAAGACUGGUUGCUAGCACAUACUUUAUUACCCACCAAGGAUGGUCAGCCAUUUCUUCCCGCAGCCAAAGCCCCAUCCCCUUCAUUUCCCUCCAGUCCCUGGAGGGGCUUCUAGUAUUACUGGGACAACGACCACGCUGCCUGUUUGUCUGUGAGUUAUGGGCAAACAGCCUCCAGCCUCACACCCAUUCCCCUGAGAACAAGAAGCCUGUGUGGUCUGGGCCAGUCUCUGCCAUGUCCUGAGUCUGCUUCAGUCUGGAGCUGUUUGUGGGGCGAGUGCCGUGUGGACAGAGGUGGAUGAUGUGUGUGCUUCAGGCUGCUCCCUGCCCCCUCUGACCUUUGCACGAGUGUCACAUGGGAAUGUGUGGGGUGCAGGGGUGGGUGCGGGGAGAACACCUUUUUGCUUUUUGAGCUCUUGACCACCUCCAAUGUGUAGGUCCCUCCAGGCUGGGGCUUGGGACUGCUUAUAUUUUGGGGAUCAAGCCUCCAUGUCUAUUCUUGUUGCCUGUCCAGAUGCCAAAACUCUGUGUUGCUGCAGGGUUUGAACUUUUGGAAACCAAUUAAAAUGUGCCUUUUGUGGGCGGGGUCAAGAGCCCCUGGAUGUCGACCUCUCACGCUGUGUGGCGUCCCCCUCCCACCUGUUGAGUACAUAGGGAUGGCUCUCUCAGGGCCCUGGGAAUGGAAAUGGGCAGCCCUGCUGUGGGCUCUUCCCCUCCCCUAGAGUUAAUCUCUUGGUCUGGCCAAGUUGCUCCUCCCUCAACCUUACUGCUGUCUUCCCCUCCCUCAACCCCAAUAGGAGGAUCCCAAGAUAAACACUGCUGGGCAGGCGGGCAGGCAGGCCUGGGGCUGCCCUGCUCACUCUCAUUCUAUGUCUGGCCUUAGGACUUAGCCAUACUAGACCAGUCAGCUUGCCUGGAAGUGGGAGGUCCCACUAUGCCUUUGGGAGACAUCUAUACUUAGGAAAAAGCCUUUGUUGUCCUCCCAUCCAUCCACCAAGCUGCUAACUCAGCCUGUCCCUUCUGCCCCAGGGGCUUGCCUAGCUUGGCUGCAGUGCACUUUGAAAUGAAGUGUCUGUCCUUUGGCCCAGCCCCUGGUUUGCUUGUAGAAAACAUGGUAGGCUUCCCCAAGGCAUCGGCAGGGAACUUUGGCAGCUUGGGGCACCCUGAAUUAGCAAAAAUGGGGGGUGAUGAGGUGCUGAAGAAGGAUACUUAUGGCUUAGUGAGGAGGCAAGAGCUCCUCUGGGACCACCACUUCUUCAGGAGAGGGCCUGUGGGCUUGCUUUUGGAAGGCCUCAGGCAGACACGUGCCCUCUGGGUGAUGUCUGUCUGCCACCAGGAUGGAGCAGAGGAGUGCCACACAUGGAGGAAAGCCACUGUAACGUUACCUACCUUAAACUCCACUCAUCAAAGCAGAGAAAAGUAUCCACUGGUCCCCAGGGUUUCAGUCAUGCUUUUGGGGGUCACUGACUAUUAGAGAAGUAAGUAUCUUUUCUGAGAGAGGGGGAGUUACCCCCUCCCCCCGCAGUGGGGAUUCCUCUGGGCUUUAUUCAGUCCCAGUCCUGGCCCUGACCUUUGUGGGCCUCCCUAAUGCCUAGGGCAUGGAUGGCUUCAGAGGAGUUUUUGAAUCGAAGCCCAGGGUCCUUGUUGAUGUUUCUUCUCCUAGCCACACUUGGAGGAGAGCUGCAGGUGGAUUGGGCAGGGAGCAGGCAUGGUUCUGCUUUGCUGUUUGUCUUCCUAGUUAAGGCUCUUUAUAAAGAGCUUGUUCUUCAUGUUUUAAGCACUUUAUGAAGAAUAAAACAUUCAUGUACUG
This 2819-nucleotide small RNA is filed under the name Pongo abelii (Sumatran orangutan). Its description in RNAcentral is "processed transcript". The record is from RNAcentral. Lineage: Eukaryota; Metazoa; Chordata; Mammalia; Primates; Hominidae.